ACCCAAUAGAUACCCUGGUAGUCCUGGCCGUAAACGAUGUCGACUAGAUCGCAGUGCCUCUGAUGGUAUUGCGGUCGAAGCAAAAGUGCUAAGUCGACCGCCUGGGAAGUACGGUCGCAAGGCUAAAACUCAAAGAAAUUGACGGGGGCUCACACAAGCGGUGGAGCAUGUGGUUCAAUUCGAAGCAACGCGCAGAACCUUACCUGGGCUUGACAUGCCAGGAUUAUCCCUAUGAAAGUAGGGUAGGCCCUUCGGGGUACAACUGGUACAGGUGCUGCAUGGCUGUCGUCAGCUCGUGUCGUGAGAUGUCGGGUUAAGUCCCUUAACGAGCGAAACCUUUGCCCUUAGUUACCAGCGGGUUAUGCCGGGGACUCUAAGGGGACUGCCGGUGUCAAACCGGAGGAAGGUGGAGAUGACGUCAAGUCCUCAUGGCCUUUAUGCCCAGGGCCACACACGUGCUACAAUGGGGUGCACAAAGCGAACCAAGAGCGCAAGCUGGCGGAAAUCGCAGAAACCACCCCCAGUUCAG
This 529-nucleotide ribosomal RNA is filed under the name uncultured bacterium. RNAcentral describes it as "bacterial SSU rRNA". It matches the Rfam family "Bacterial small subunit ribosomal RNA", at positions 770 to 1296 of the family's 1533-position model. The record is from RNAcentral.